UGAAGGUACCUCCCGGUUUUUUACACCGA
Molecule: non-coding RNA, 29 nt
Filed under: Homo sapiens (human)
Lineage: Eukaryota; Metazoa; Chordata; Mammalia; Primates; Hominidae
Source: RNAcentral